GAACGCUGGCGGCGUGGCUAAGGCAUGCAAGUCGAACGCGAAAGUGACCCUUCGGGGAAGCGAGUAGAGUGGCGAAAGGGCGAGGAACACAUGGGAACGUACCUUUGGCUCGGGGAUAGCUGUGGGAAACCGCAGGUAAUACCCGACAUCGCGGAAACGUGAAAGCCGGGGAUCGAAAGACCUGGCGGCCAGAGAGCGGCCCAUGUCCUAUCAGCUUGUUGGUGAGGUAACGGCUCACCAAGGCGACGACGGGUACCGGGGCUGAGAGGUUGACCCGGCGCAUCGGGACUGAGACACUGCCCGGACUCCUACGGGAGGCUGCAGCACCGAAUAUUCCACAAUGGGCGAAAGCCUGAUGGAGCGACGCCGCGUGUGGGAGUAAGCCCUUCGGGGUGUAAACCACUGUCAGGGAUCACCAAGCGACCGGGGCGAACAGUCCCGGAAGUUGAGGAGUCCCAGAGGAAGUCACGGCUAACUUCGUGCCAGCAGCCGCGGUAAGACGAAGGUGGCGAGCGUUGUUCGGAAUUACUGGGCUUAAAGAGCACGUAGGUGGGCUUGCAAGCCG
RNAcentral lists this ribosomal RNA (565 nucleotides) under uncultured organism. Its description in RNAcentral is "bacterial SSU rRNA". It matches the Rfam family "Bacterial small subunit ribosomal RNA", at positions 31 to 590 of the family's 1533-position model. The record is from RNAcentral.